UGUGUAAGCGCAGCGAUGCGUUGAGCUAACCGAUACUAAUGAACCGUGAGGCUUAACCUUACAACGCCGAAGGUGUUU
RNAcentral lists this ribosomal RNA (78 nucleotides) under Enterobacter kobei. RNAcentral describes it as "partial 23S ribosomal RNA". Lineage: Bacteria; Pseudomonadati; Pseudomonadota; Gammaproteobacteria; Enterobacterales; Enterobacteriaceae. The record is from RNAcentral.